Molecule: ribosomal RNA, 464 nt
Filed under: uncultured bacterium
Lineage: Bacteria
Description: partial 16S ribosomal RNA
Rfam family: Bacterial small subunit ribosomal RNA
Source: RNAcentral
GACGAACGCUGGCGGCGUGCUUAACACAUGCAAGUCGAACGGAAAGGCCCUGCUUGCAGGGUACUCGAGUGGCGAACGGGUGAGUACACGUGGGUGAUCUGCCCUGCACUUCGGGAUAAGCCUGGGAAACUGGGUCUAAUACCGGAUAGGAGCCAUUUUUAGUGUGAUGGUUGGAAAGUUUUUUCGGUGUAGGAUGAGCUCGCGGCCUAUCAGCUUGUUGGUGGGGUAAUGGCCUACCAAGGCGGCGACGGGUAGCCGGCCUGAGAGGGUGGACGGCCACAUUGGGACUGAGAUACGGCCCAGACUCCUACGGGAGGCAGCAGUGGGGAAUAUUGCACAAUGGGCGCAAGCCUGAUGCAGCGACGCCGCGUGGGGGAUGACGGCCUUCGGGUUGGAAACUCCUUUCGCUAGGGACGAAGCUUUUUGUGACGGUACCUAGAUAAGAAGCACCGGCUAACUACGUG